AGUGAACGCUGGCGGUAGGCCUAACACAUGCAAGUCGAACGGCAGCACAGUAAGAGCUUGCUCUUACGGGUGGCGAGUGGCGGACGGGUGAGGAAUACAUCGGAAUCUACUUUUUCGUGGGGGAUAACGUAGGGAAACUUACGCUAAUAUCGCAUACGACCUACGGGUGAAAGCAGGGGAUCUUCGGACCUUGCGCGAUUGAAUGAGCCGAUGUCGGAUUAGCUAGUUGGCGGGGUAAAGGCCCACCAAGGCGACGAUCCGUAGCUGGUCUGAGAGGAUGAUCAGCCACACUGGAACUGAGACACGGUCCAGACUCCUACGGGAGGCAGCAGUGGGGAAUAUUGGACAAUGGGCGCAAGCCUGAUCCAGCCAUACCGCGUGGGUGAAGAAGGCCUUCGGGUUGUAAAGCCCUUUUGUUGGGAAAGAAAAGCGGCAGGUUAAUACCCCGCUGUUCUGACGGUACCCAAAGAAUAAGCACCGGCUAACUUCGUG
Molecule: ribosomal RNA, 492 nt
Filed under: uncultured bacterium
Lineage: Bacteria
Description: partial 16S ribosomal RNA
Rfam family: Bacterial small subunit ribosomal RNA
Source: RNAcentral